UGUCCCCUGGCAACGGGCAAAGAGACACCCUGUUGGUGUUGGUCUUAUAUCAGUCAGAGGCAAAGCAGUUGGCAGUCCUUUGUUCAUCCUAGUUUGAUACCUGGCUUGGUGGCCAAGGCUGUCUUAUGCCUAGGAUGAAUAA
Molecule: small nucleolar RNA, 142 nt
Organism: Rattus norvegicus (Norway rat)
Lineage: Eukaryota; Metazoa; Chordata; Mammalia; Rodentia; Muridae
Product: small nucleolar RNA SNORA48
Source: Ensembl